CAGCCGCCGCGGUAAUACGUAGGGGGCGAGCGUUAUCCGGAUUCAUUGGGCGUAAAGCGCGCGUAGGCGGCCUGUUAGGUCGGGAGUUAAAUCCGGGGGCUCAACCCUCGUCCGCUCCCGAUACCGGCAGGCUUGAGUCUGGAAUGGGAAGGCGGAAUUCCGAGUGUAGCGGUGGAAUGCGCAGAUAUUCGGAAGAACACCGGUGGCGAAGGCGGCCUUCUGGGCCACGACUGACGCUGAGGCGCGAAAGCUAGGGGAGCGAACAGGAUUAGAUACCCUGGUAGUCCUAGCCGUAAACGAUGGACACUAGGUGUGGGGGGAUGUACCUUCCGUGCCGCAGCUAACGCAUUAAGUGUCCCGCCUGGGGAGUACGGCCGCAAGGCUAAAACUCAAAGGAAUUGACGGGGGCCCGCACAAGCAGCGGAGCAUGUGGCUUAAUUCGAAGCAACGCGAAGAACCUUACCAGGGCUUGACAUCUAGGUGAAGCGGUGGAGACACCGUGGCCGAAAGGAGUCUAGACAGGAGGUGCAUGGCC
This 535-nucleotide ribosomal RNA is filed under the name uncultured archaeon. Its description in RNAcentral is "bacterial SSU rRNA". It matches the Rfam family "Bacterial small subunit ribosomal RNA", at positions 509 to 1050 of the family's 1533-position model. The record is from RNAcentral.